RNAcentral lists this ribosomal RNA (425 nucleotides) under uncultured bacterium. RNAcentral's name for it is "partial 16S ribosomal RNA". It matches the Rfam family "Bacterial small subunit ribosomal RNA", at positions 354 to 796 of the family's 1533-position model. The record is from RNAcentral.
GUAGGGAAUCUUGCGCAAUGGGCGAAAGCCUGACGCAGCCAUGCCGCGUGAAUGAUGAAGGUCUUAGGAUUGUAAAAUUCUUUCACCGGGGACGAUAAUGACGGUACCCGGAGAAGAAGCCCCGGCUAACUUCGUGCCAGCAGCCGCGGUAAUACGAAGGGGGCUAGCGUUGCUCGGAAUUACUGGGCGUAAAGGGAGCGUAGGCGGAUAGUUUAGUCAGAGGUGAAAGCCCAGGGCUCAACCUUGGAAUUGCCUUUGAUACUGGCUAUCUUGAGUAUGGAAGAGGUAUGGGGAACUCCGAGUGUAGAGGUGAAAUUCGUAGAUAUUCGGAAGAACACCAGUGGCGAAGGCGACAUACUGGUCCAUUACUGACGCUGAGGCUCGAAAGCGUGGGGAGCAAACAGGAUUAGAUACCCGGGUAGUCC